AGAGUUUGAUCCUGGCUCAGGAUGAACGCUAGCGGCAGGCCUAAUACAUGCAUGUCGAACGAGAACCGUUCCUUCGGGAGCGGGGACAGUGGCGCACGGGUGCGUAACGCGUAUGCAAUCUACCUUUAUCAGGGGAAUAACCCGGCGAAAGUCGGGCUAAUACCGCAUAACAUAAUUGAGUGGCAUCAUUUAAUUAUCAAACAUUUAUGGGAUAAAGAUGAGCAUGCGUGACAUUAGCUAGUUGGUGGGGUAAAGGCCCACCAAGGCGAUGAUGUCUAGGGGAUCUGAGAGGAUGACCCCCCACACUGGUACUGAGACACGGACCAGACUCCUACGGGAGGCAGCAGUAAGGAAUAUUGGUCAAUGGAGGGAACUCUGAACCAGCCAUGCCGCGUGCAGGAAGACGGCCCUACGGGUUGUAAACUGCUUUUGUACCGGAAUA
RNAcentral lists this ribosomal RNA (442 nucleotides) under uncultured bacterium. RNAcentral's name for it is "bacterial SSU rRNA". It matches the Rfam family "Bacterial small subunit ribosomal RNA", at positions 8 to 448 of the family's 1533-position model. The record is from RNAcentral.